RNAcentral lists this non-coding RNA (28 nucleotides) under Mus musculus (house mouse). Lineage: Eukaryota; Metazoa; Chordata; Mammalia; Rodentia; Muridae. The record is from RNAcentral.
UAACUUGUGCUGUGGCAGAGUUUCACAA